RNAcentral lists this ribosomal RNA (849 nucleotides) under Triticum aestivum (bread wheat). RNAcentral's name for it is "partial small subunit ribosomal RNA". The record is from RNAcentral. Lineage: Eukaryota; Viridiplantae; Streptophyta; Magnoliopsida; Poales; Poaceae.
AUGGACAAGGAUGAUAAUUCUAAUGCCAAUAAGAUAUGGAACUUUGGGGGGCCAACAUACAUUUGCCAACACAGCCAUGCACUUAUGUCGUAUGCAGAAAGAAUACAAUCUUCCAGAACAAGACAACCAUCCUUUGCACAAUGCUGCAAACAAGGGAAGAUUAUCUUGCCACCAUUUAAAGAACCGCCGUCUUACCUUACAAGUUUAUUGACAAGGGGUGGAGGAAAAAUAUCAGCAAACUACCGAAAGAACAUUAGGUCUUACAAUUCCAUGUUUGCGUUCACAUCAAUGGGGGGGACUUUGGAUAAGAAAAUAAACAAAGGGCGUGGACCUUAUGUUUUCCAACUGAAUGGCCAGAACCGCCACCAGAUAGGAACCCUGCUACCCGAAGAAGGAAAUAGGCCUCGUUUCCAGCAGUUGUAUAUCUGUGACACAGAUAAUGAGAUCCAAAAUAGGGUAGAAGCAUCAAAAUCUGGUGAACGUGAUGCCUCACUAAAGCAAACAAUUGUCAGUGGCCUACUAAGCAUGCUCGACGAGAAUAACACAUUAGCACAAUCAUUCGGAAUGGCAAGAGAUAGAUUUAAAGAAGAUGACUACAACAACUUCACUCUGCGUUUACUUGGCAGCAGGGAUCAAGAUGGGAGGCAAGAUAACAUGCCAUCAAUAUCAGAAGUUGCUGCACUGAUAGUCAAAGAUCCAACCCAAAAACAUUACGGACGUGACAUUGUUCUCGAGUACAAAGAUAUGAAACCUAAAAGGAUAUCAGAAAUCCAUCCAAAAUUCAUGGCCAUGCAAUACCCGUUGCUCUUCCCAUACGGGGAAGAUGGUUAUAGACUUGGAAUCAAGUAA